GACGAGCCUCACGAACGUUAUUCGGAAUUACUGGGCUUAAAGGGUGCGUAGGCGGCGUGGAAAGUUGGGUGUGAAAUCCCUCGGCUUAACCGAGGAACUGCGCCCAAAACUACCAUGCUCGAGGAAGAUAGAGGUAAGCGGAACUUACGGUGGAGCGGUGAAAUGCGUUGAUAUCGUAAGGAACACCCGUGGCGAAAGCGGCUUACUGGGUCUUUUCUGACGCUGAUGCACGAAAGCUAGGGGAGCAAACGGG
This 253-nucleotide ribosomal RNA is filed under the name uncultured bacterium. RNAcentral describes it as "partial 16S ribosomal RNA". It matches the Rfam family "Bacterial small subunit ribosomal RNA", at positions 524 to 776 of the family's 1533-position model. The record is from RNAcentral.